RNAcentral lists this ribosomal RNA (381 nucleotides) under Metasarcidae sp. 6 MA-2018. RNAcentral's name for it is "partial small subunit ribosomal RNA". Lineage: Eukaryota; Metazoa; Arthropoda; Arachnida; Opiliones; Metasarcidae. The record is from RNAcentral.
GGAUUAGAUACCCUAGUAUAAUAAAAUUAGAGUGAUUAUUAUUGAUUAAGAAAUUUAAAAUUUUUGGCGGUUAAUUAUUAAUUAGAGGAGCUUGUUAUUAGAAUUUACUCUUUAUAUUUUAUUAAUUUUUGUUUAUUUAUCUCCGUUAUUAGGUAUUGACUUUAUAAGUAAAUAGAUAUCUUGAAUUUCAGGUCAAGAUGUAGCUUAAAUUAAAUUUAAUUAGCUACAUUUGUACUAUAUUGUGGAUUUAAAUUUAAUAGAAAUAUCUAAUGAAAUUGAAUUUAAUUGUAAUAUUAUUUAUAGGGAUAGUAUGAAGGUUUAUAUUUAAUGUUCAUAUUGCCCGUCACUUCUUUUGUUUAAAUAGAAUAAGUCGUAACAAAG